UACAGAGGUCUCAAGCGUUGUUCGGAUUCAUUGGGCGUAAAGGGUGCGUAGGCGGCGGUGCAAGUCUGAUGUGAAAUCCCGGGGCUCAACCCCGGAACUGCAUUGGAUACUGCAUUGCUAGAGUACUGGAGAGGAGACUGGAAUUUACGGUGUAGCAGUGAAAUGCGUAGAUAUCGUAAGGAAGACCAGUGGCGAAGGCGAGUCUCUGGACAGUUACUGACGCUGAGGCACGAAGGCCAGGGGAGCAAACGGG
RNAcentral lists this ribosomal RNA (253 nucleotides) under uncultured bacterium. Its description in RNAcentral is "partial 16S ribosomal RNA". It matches the Rfam family "Bacterial small subunit ribosomal RNA", at positions 524 to 776 of the family's 1533-position model. The record is from RNAcentral.